UCCCAGGUUGCUCAGUGGGUAAAGAACCUGCCUGCCAAGCAGGAGACGCCGGAAAUAUCGGUUCGAUUCCUGGCUUGGGAA
Ovis aries (sheep) is the source of this 81-nucleotide transfer RNA. It matches the Rfam family "tRNA". From Rfam's summary of the family: Transfer RNA (tRNA) molecules are approximately 80 nucleotides in length. The record is from Rfam. Lineage: Eukaryota; Metazoa; Chordata; Mammalia; Artiodactyla; Bovidae.